AAAAAAUCCGAUUAGCCUGUUAGUUUAGUUUAUACACACAUUUGCACUGCACACACUAUGUAUUUGCAAUCAUAUUUAAUGUAAUUCUGUGUUAAGCUGAAUAAGUGUAUUUUUAAAGUAAAAAUAAGUGUUAAAUGUAUUUCAAAGUAUUUCAGUUAUAAAUGAUGCAAAUUAAUGAUGUUCAAUAAUUCACUUAAUUAAUAAAUAAUAAUUAUAAUAACCUAUUAACAGUUAAGAAAUUACGUUCAGUUGGUUUUAUUAUACACAAUUUGUUUUCUUUCUUUCUACUCAUUAUAUAGUAAGCGAUAUGGGUAUUUUAAAUUAAUUUCAUUCAUAUAUACUUAGGAUAAUCAUUAACUGAAAGUUUGAGGAGAUUCGAUUUCGAGGGAGGACCCGAUUUGUCACGACACCGGCCUCAGCACAAAAUUCACAGAAUUGUCAAUUCUGUAUUUUUAUGUGUGUCAGAUUAACGCAUGAGGUAAACCGAUAAUGUCAUUGCAUCAAAACGUCACUCAAAUACUGCACUGUGACAUGCUCCUUUUCUGAAACUUUUUUCUAAAGGAUGUUUUAAAAUAGCUUUGGAGAGUUGUGUGUCUCUGAUAUGCGUUAAUAUGACAUCCAGAGACAGCUGGAGUUUUUUUUUUUUUUUUCUCUUUUUCUUUCGUUGCCUAAACUCACUGCAUUCUCCACUCCUCUCUCUCCCCCGCAGGCAUUCUCCUUUCAGCUGCAUUCUGCCACACGGUCUGAAAACAACAGGCUCUUGUGUGAAGACUAAAGAGCAGCGAGCACGAGAGCGCUCCGAUUUAGAGACUGGAAGAGUUGUUGGAAGCUUAAAUUGAAUAAAACCUGAAGAUGAAUGAAAGUCUGACGGGUUUGGAAUGACAUGAGGCAAAAAAAAGAGCCAAAUGGCUGCAUGAAAUAUAAGACUGUAAACAUCUGAUGCUCUGAUAAGGAACUGAAAAGCGCAGGAGACUCUCCAGAGAGACGCCGUAAGAAGAUCCUCCCGCUGUGGGUCCACGCAGCCGACCACCCAUCUCGAGCUCAGAGAAAGACUGAACGCGUUCACUCAUCACUUCAUUAUGUAAUGCUUAUUGCUUUGUUGAUGAUUCUAUUCUUACCAUGGUGCACUUCUGUGACUGAACAUUGUUAUCCUACAGUAUAAAUACUGAGCGAAUCGCAGUGUCACUUCAGCAGAGCUAUGGUUUGUGUGUUUCAUGGGCAAUAGCUCAGUGCACAUCGGGCUUAAAUGAAUCCUGAUGGAAAUGUCUCGACUGUUUUAGUUCCCAAACAAGGCUGAGCUGAAAAAGUGAUCACCCAGUGCAGAUGCUAAAUGAGAUAGUUAUAUAUGAAAACCUGAAGAAAACUGACACUGCAGCGCCACCAGAUGUUGAGGGUUAGUACAGCACACAUAAAAUGCAUCACAAUCAGUGCAGUUUUAUUAUUCUCAAAUAUGAGUCUUAGCAGGAAAUCAGUUUAAAAAGUCAGCAUGAAAUGGCCUUUGCAACCAAUUUCAAUCAAUAAACAGGCUUGUCAGCUUUUAAAAGGAGAAAGCGAUUCUCUAAUCUUUUGUCAUUGACGUCAGAGGCCGUCAAAAUCAAACUCGACACAGACUUUUUUCCAAAUCAAACUAUUCAGAUGCCAACAUGGACAGGUUGUGUGACAUGACAAAUUUUCAAAAACUACACAACAGUAAAAUAAAACAUGACCGUCAGCCACUAAUUUCUAUGUUGAGAAGUCACAAAAAAUUACUAAGCAUUACUAAACUCAGCCUAGAAGGCAUGUGUUUCUCCUUUAAUCUUGGUUUCAUGGUCUAUUUUUUUCAUCCUCCUCUCCGUCUGUCACUGAUGAAUAGAUUACGUCUUAUUUUCGGCUGGGUGGUCAUGAUUGAGUCCAUCAUUAUUGUGAAUAGGUAUGUGUGUGAUUUAUAGUCCUGAACAGCCUUCCCCUGUCAUAUGAGCAAAAAUAGAGAGAGCAGAACAACACGAUUGUGUCAAACACUGAAACUGCUAUCAUGUCUUCAUGUUCCCUUCAAUAGAAGGUGAAUCAAAUCAAUUUUAUGAGUUCCUUCUAUCACAAAUAUGUAUUUCAAUAGCACCUAUCAAGUACCCAAGGACAUUUCACAAUGAAUGAUAGGAAACAACUGGAACUGAAAUAAAAGAAGCCUAACAAAGAGACAUACUACAUGAAUACAAAACAUAUAAAAUCUGAAGAACACAGUUGGGCACUCUUUGCCUGGUAAGUGGUUGACAAUAAAAAAAAAAAAAUGCUUUCUGAAUCCUGGAGGAACAUCAUUUACAUAAAAACAAAUGGUAAAAUAAUUGGGUUUUUUAAAUUAACAUUUAAGUAAAUACUUUGAGAAGAAACCCUUUCAGUGGAGCGUUAUAUAAGUCACUUUUGGAAUUUCAUAUCUCUCAUUUUUGUAUAUCUGCCGUCUAGUAAACAAACCUUUUGGUUCUAGGACAAGCAUAAUUUCACAAAUCUCUAUUGUGUUUGGAUCAGUUGGUGUGGGCAGACUUUGCAUGUCUUUGAUGCAUCCGUUCCCCCUUUCUGGAAAAGGCUUGGGAAAUGAUUUAUUGCAGUAGAUUUGUUAUGCCUUUUCCACUGUUUUCCUAACAAACGUGGCAUGAAUUGAUGGCUUUCAGAAGAAAGAGCCAGAUCGCAUAAAUAUUUCAAUAUUUGAAUAACAUAUGGGUUUUCAACUGAGUUUAAGAAAGGGAGAGAUGAAAUUUCAUUGGGAGAGAGAACACCCAAAAGAAAACACUCUGAAAUUAAUUUAAUAAACUGGCUCUUAAGGGGGAGCAGAAUAGUAUGCUGUACACCACAUUAAACAAAAUGUUUCUUCUCUUUUCAUAUGAAAAAGCAAUAUUCUCAGUCCAGAGGUGACAUUUUUUUAUACUGUAUGGUGAUCAGGUCACCAUUUUCCUAGUCUGCUAGUCUUUUCUUUCCCCACCAAUCUGUACUCAGGUCAUUCAGAUUGACAUAAAGUGAGGUGGAGAAAAACUCCAAGAGAAACCAGUAACAACCUCAAAAGAAAGUAUUUUCCUUAAAGGUGCUGUGAGAACACAAACACCCACUGGAGGGCCCAAAAUGAGGUCCAAACUUUAACCACUUAAAACAAAACCCCAGAGAGUAGGGUGAUCAAAGCGGGAAACAUUACAUUACCAUACCGCAGGGAGGAAAAAUAUAUAAAGCAUGUGGAAACUGAAUCUUAAGAAUCAGUCUCCUAUAAACACUGAUCCUACUCUGGAGCUUUAUAAGCUCUUUAAGAGCACCUGUGGUCAACCAGUACUCAAGUAUUCUGAUUGGUGCAGGAGGGGGAGGAGACUAGAGCAAUCAACCAAUGAGAGAGUGAUCAUCUCUCUCACUUGAUGACACAAACCUCUUCAAAGUGAACAUGUGGAACAAUGUAGCAUACUGUUUACUAGUGUUGUAGUACUCGAGACCGGUCUUAAGACCUUUUUUUUUUUUGAAGGUCUUGGUCUUGUCUUGGUCUCAGUCGCAUUUAGUCUUGGUCUAGUCUUGGUCUCGGACUAUGAGGACUCGGGAUUUUAUUUCAAGACCGGUCAAAACCACAACUGCGGGGAUAUCUCUAAAUUGCCAUUGCAUUGUCUGAUUUCUUUGUUAACAUCAUUAAUUUGAUUGGAUGCAAAACAUCCUGCUUCAAAUGCAAUCAAUAACUUCUAAUUUAAUUUAUUUUGUUACUUUUGUGCCAGGUCACCAAAAUUAAUACAAAUGCCCACAAAAUUCAAGAUAUGAUUGCAAAAAAGUACUUUUAUAAGAUCUUGUUAUUUAUAUUAUAACAUAUGAUAUAAUUAAGCAACAUCACAAGAAAGAGGGCUGGUUUCACAAAUAUGAGCACAGUUGCAAACGUGAUAUUUUUUUACAAAUGUUCAAUAAACAAAAUGUUAUUUUUAAAACAUUAAUCUCAACAUUAUUUAUUUUAUACAUUUGUAAUUGUACCAAUUCAAAUGCAACUUCUGUUCAACCUCUGCAGUGUAAAGAUGAACUUUGUUGUUAGUGAUUUCAGUUGAUUGGUAACAGCUCUAUAUAGUGUCUUAUUAUUCUAACUGUAAUUAUUGAUUAAAAAUGAGACAUUUCUCAAAUAGUAAAUGUGGAUCUUUCAGAUGAAUUUGAGCAGUGCUGGUCUGUUCUUGGUCUUGACUCGGUCUCGAAUUGCCUUGGUCUUGGUCUUGCUCUCAAACCCCCAAAGUCUUGGUCUCGACACACACUGGUCUUGGUCUUGACUUGGCCUCGGUUUAGGUGGUCUUGACUACAACACUACUGUUUACUAUAAUGGAACAAUUAUUUUAAAAAAAAUUGUUGGUAGUAUAUACUGUACAGUGUAACACUAAAAAUAUAAAACCUGCCCUGAAAUCAUGAUCACUACCUGGACUGUGUUUUUGACCAAAUAAUUCCUCAAGUGCUUUAGAACAAUGAGAAUCUGACCUGCUGAUGGCAAUUGCUUAAAACUUCAUAUAUAAAUACUUCUAAUGUUCAUGGUGACUGUAUACAGGAUGGAUGCUCCCCUUGUUUUCUCACCUUUAGACCCUGAGAGAUAGCUGUCUGUCUCCUCUCUCUCUCCUGUAGGAAAAAUAAAGCUCUUGACUUUCAGCAGUCUGUUCUAUAUUUAGCCUCCAUGUCAUGGCCUUCAUCUUUGAACUCUCUUCAGUCUUGAAUAAUGCUGUGCACUCGGAGCACACACUCAUUGCCAUACCUACAGGAUCUGAUCUCUCAGUCAGAGCUCAACCAGUGUGGGCUCAA
Megalobrama amblycephala (Wuchang bream) is the source of this 4761-nucleotide long non-coding RNA. RefSeq lists it as uncharacterized. NCBI's taxonomy places the organism in Eukaryota, Metazoa, Chordata, Actinopteri, Cypriniformes, Xenocyprididae. The transcript is spliced from 3 exons. The record is from RefSeq and is a predicted model, not a curated record.